UCAAAUUGGCUGUAUGCUAUGUUAAAUAAUGCAAGCUCGUUUUUCGCCUUUACAUCCAAAAGCAGACUUAAUUAAAGAACUUUUGGGUUAAUACCAUCUAAAACUAAUCAGUUUGUCAUACCACACUAUCGACGAAGACGCCUUCAUGAUGCAACAUGUCGAUUGGUUGUAUGCUAUGAUACACAAGUAAUAACAUAAAAGACACCAUCGAGGGUGGUUAACCUAUAGUAUUGCUUGGCACCAAGCAAUACCUAAGCUAGAAUACUUCAUUGAUAGAAAUCAAAUGCUC
RNAcentral lists this long non-coding RNA (289 nucleotides) under Gossypium barbadense (sea-island cotton). RNAcentral describes it as "long non-coding RNA (GBAR_LNC022763)". The record is from RNAcentral. Lineage: Eukaryota; Viridiplantae; Streptophyta; Magnoliopsida; Malvales; Malvaceae.